GCAGACAGAGCGAUCCAUCUCUCCGUUGCUCCGCCCCGCCGCGCUGAUGCGCUCAUUGGCGAGUUCGCGGCACUGCGCAUGCCCUCCCUCGCGUAUCGUUCCCGCAGCCUCUCGGAUUGGCGUGAAGCCGCCAAAGGCGGCCAGGGGAGCCGUGCAGAAAACGAGACUACGCGUGGGCUUCGCCCGGACGCCUGCCGGAUCAUGGCCAAGACCAAGCCGCGGAUCCUGCCUUGGUUGCGGGAGCAGCUGGACUCGGGGCUCCUGGGGGCGGUGUGGAUCAAUGAAGAGCGCACGCUCUUCUACAUCCCCUGAAGCUACAGGCUCCCGCCAGGACCUACAGGAGGACGAUUUCCGCAUCUUCCAGGCGUGGGCGGAGGCCAGCGGCAGCUACCGGCCCGGCAUCGACGCCCCGGACCCAGCCACCUGGAAGCGGAAUUUUCGGCGCGCUGGACCGCAAGAAGAACCUCCGCGUGCUCAGCAACCGCAGCCGGGACUCGCAGAAUCCGCACAAGAUCUACGAGUUCUUGCCCGAGGUCGGGGAGGGCAGGAGUCCCGGCCCAGCCGCCCGAGCCCGAGGAGCAGGUGAGGGUCCCGGUGGGGCAGGAAUGGCCCCGACCCAGCCGCCUCCCCGGGUGCCACCUGUGCCUCUCUCCCACAGGAGGCCAUCCAGGAUAUCCUGAAGACGCUGACCCUGUCCCG
Molecule: long non-coding RNA, 699 nt
Organism: Sarcophilus harrisii (Tasmanian devil)
Lineage: Eukaryota; Metazoa; Chordata; Mammalia; Dasyuromorphia; Dasyuridae
Source: Ensembl